Long non-coding RNA from Pipistrellus kuhlii (Kuhl's pipistrelle), 1999 nucleotides. RefSeq lists it as uncharacterized. The record is from RefSeq and is a predicted model, not a curated record. NCBI's taxonomy places the organism in Eukaryota, Metazoa, Chordata, Mammalia, Chiroptera, Vespertilionidae. The transcript has 4 exons.
UGUUUAGUAACCGGGAUACGGGGAUCCGUGCAGUUUAUGCGAUUCACAUCUGGAACAGGACCGUCCUUCUGCAUGUUGGUCACAUCUCUCAGAGUCAGUGGAGAACGGGGCAUGUGCAUGUCCGUGGGAACCAGAAUUCCUGGGUUGGAAUGUGCCACCUCUGGCUGUGUGACCUUGGGCAAGGUGAUCUCUAAUAGCCCCGAUGUUCUCACAGUAAAGGGGCGUAUGUAAGAGCGCCUACCUCUCUGAGUUGUUGACAGGUUAAAUGGUUUUAUACAUGUAACGUAGUGUGCUGCAUGACACAGAGUGCCUAAUGAAUAUUAGUUUUAACCUGAUUACUAUUAUCAUCCACCUACAGUCCAAAUAGAAACUUAGAAAGAUGUUAUUUACUCUUUUAUACCACAUCUCCAAUAUAUCAAUUCCUAGCCAUUUUAAUUUCCAAAUAAUUUUUAAAUCUAUCUCAUCUCAUAUUUAUGCCACCAAAUAUGACCUUCCUUAUUAAUGGAUCCUAACUAUUCUUUCUUAUAUUGUGUCAUUCAUGUCAUGUCAUUCAAACAUUUAUUGUGCUCCAUCUAUGUGCCUAUUGCUGGACAUGGGAACAGAGACACCAUUACAAUCUCUAGCUCAAAGAAUCAAACCCAGUGCGGGAGACAAAUAUGUCAAUAACAACUAAGUGGAAUCAAUAAACUCAACACACAGCAAAUUAGUUGGGUUCCCCAAUCUUGCCAUACUCUCUCAAGCAUCUUGCUUUUGUGUAGGCUGCUCCUUUUUCUUGUUACAUCCUGAACCUCCACCUCUUCCUUACCUGCCUAAUUCCUGCUUAUCCUUUACCAUUCAACCCUGGUAUCAAUUCCGUUGUCAACCCUUACCCAUGGCUUGUUACCCAGCCCUGUCCUAUCCACACACCUGUAAGAGAUUUUCCCAUCCAUACCUGGGGCCAGAAAACAAAGGAGGUAAGUGGAAAUAUCUAGAAAUUGAACAAAUCAUUUUAAGGACACAAGUAUACUGCUCAGGUCCCAAAACAUGUACAAGGGUUGCCAAAAGCAGCUUAGAUUAAAGACAAAUUGUGUGAAGAAAGAAGAGAGAAGAAGCAGAGACAGAACUCAAUAGCAAGAAGGCCCAGCUUAGACCUUGCUAAGCAAAAGUCUGACUCCUAAAGUGAGUUGGAUGCAAUCAUUGAGCACCUUCUCAGACCAUGACCACUGCCUUCGCUGAGCUCCCUGAGGUGGCUGAAGUUCAAGUUGGAACCCUGGGCCUGCCUAGCCUUUACUUCCUCCACGAUGGGCCCUGUUGGCAUUACAUCAUCAUCCUAGAUUGGGAUGAAAUGCCACACCAUGGAGUAUGGGAACUGGCUUACUGAAUGGCUGGCUGCCAAGGGCUGAAAAUAUAAGGAGUUCCUCCCUCUGGGGUGAAACCUGGCUGAUGGAAAAUGAAAGGCAGGAGGGAUCUGAGCAGAAAACCUGGCUCCCCGCUCCCUGCAGUGGGCUGCCCCGAGCGUGGUUUCUUCUUGCAGCCUUUCCCGAGGAGUCCCGAGUUCCAAGUGGACACACCUGCCAAGCACCUGCCAUGUCGUUGCCAAUUCCUGUCACACCAAGUUGCUUUGCCUCUUUAUUACCUUCCAUCUAUUGUUUCCUCCUCACCACCAUCUGUGGCUGCACUUUAAUCCUUUUUUUGUCGUAUGUGUGUGUGUGUUUAAAGCAUUUUGCCUUUUUUUUUUUUAAUUGACUCUAGAAAGGGAGGGAGGGAGGGGGAGAGAGAGAGAGAGAGAGAGAGAGAGAGAGAGAGAGAGAGAGAGAGAGGGAGAGAGAGAGAGAGAUCAAAGUCUGGGAGACAUAUCAAUCUGGUGCCUCCCACAUGCUUCCCCUCAGGGGAUCAAACCUAAGACCUAGGUACUGCACUGACCGGGAAUUGAACUAUGACCUUCCAGUGCACAGGAAGAUGCCCCAACCAGCUGAGCCAUACUGGCCAGGGCACUCACCUUAAUCCUUGUGUCUGCUUC